This 3164-nucleotide unclassified non-coding RNA is filed under the name Melitaea cinxia (Glanville fritillary). Its description in RNAcentral is "misc RNA ENSMCXG00005009224.1". The record is from RNAcentral. Lineage: Eukaryota; Metazoa; Arthropoda; Insecta; Lepidoptera; Nymphalidae.
GUUUGUGUGAAAAGCAUUUUUUGAAAGUAUAAUUAUAUUUUUUAUAUAACUUAAAAGUUAUUUGUCGAUUAGCAUAUUAAUGUAAAUAAUGUCAAGGUUAAAUAAGUUCAAUACAAAAACUGAACCAUAUUAAUAUUGUGUUAAACAAAAAAAAAAGUGUACUAUAAACUUCUCUCUAGACGUUAAUUACUCGAUGGCUUUUAUGUAUUAUUUUAUUUUUAAAUAAUUCAUCCAAGUUUUAUUUUUAAAUAAUUCAUCCAAUAAAGAAUUUGAUAUAUUGAAUAUCGUAGUACCGGAUGUAAAUAGCCUGAAUCAUUGUUAAAAAGUACUAAGUAUUGUAAAUUAUUACAAACGAUAGUUAAACAUUGUGAAGGGUCUGCCUGACAUGGCCAACGUUUUAUGUUCAAAUAAGUGGCACAGCAGAAACAAUGGAAGAGGCAGAGGAAAAAUUAAUAAGAUUAAAAAGAACCCCUAUUCUUCUCUACCAAUAAUGAGUAGUCUGCUAAAGCAAAAGAUUGAUUAAAAAUAGAUAAUAUAUUUAGCCAAAUAGCUUUAGAGUUAACUGACGAAUCCACUGAAAUUGCAGGUAAUAUUUAUUAUUUAAAAUGUAAAUAUUGUUGAUUAAUUUCUAAUAUUUUUUUUACAAGGUAUAUAUAUUAAUUGAUAUAAAUUUAUUUUUAAUCAUUAAUUUUUGAGCUGAAAUUUUAUUUCAAAUUUUUUCAUUCCACUAGAACCUAAGAAAUAAAAGCCAAAAAAAUGUAACCAAAAAAUAGUGAAGAAACAAGCCUAAAAACAUAGUCUCGAAUGGUCAUCUACAUCAAUAGCGUCUUUGAUAUCUUCAUCACCACCGUCAUCAUUAUGUAAACCUAUAGAAAUAAAUAAUGAAACUAAAUAAAACGAAUUAAUGACAGUACUAACUAUAUUGUUGACUCAAAAAAAAAGGAAAAAAUUAGUUCAUAAUCUACACCAUACCACCUUGAUCAUCUUCAUCAUCACCAUCAACUAAAAGUAGAAAAAUAAGAAAAAUUCACUCUAAUUUGAAGGACAUAAAUAUGCGUAUGGAAAUAGCACAUGAAGACAGUACAUUAGCAACAAUUGCUGAUAAUCCCUUAUCAUCAUCAUAAAUCUGAAACAGAAGCUGAAAUGAAUAUAUUAGCAGCUAGAUCAUCAUCAACAAAAAAUACUGUAUCCAGUGAUUCUUUGCUGGAAUGUAUCAAACAUAAUUAUAACAGUCUAUCAAAACAAUUAGCGAAUUUAAAAGGCCAUAUCUGCUGAUGUUCCCAAAUCCUGUCUGAAAUAAAAAAAUAACAGUACUCAGCUGUUAGAUUUCAGUUUAUUAACAGAUCCUGAAGGAAAUCCAGUGGUCCAAAAAUUAGAAUUUAAGCUAUCAACAAUGGAAGAUAUUAUUUUGAUAAAUUCAAUGAAAAAUUGAAAGGCGAAAAAUAUAAAAAUAAAAUGGUAAGUUUUUAAUAAACUAUAUUCUUAUAUACAAAUAUAUGAAAGAUCUAAUAUAGUUGCUCUAUCUGACAAUAUUGAAAUUGUCAUAUUUGAUAAAAUGCUAAUCAUAAUAAUUAAUUAAUCAUACAAAUAAUUAUAAUAAAUUUUCUUUUCCAGAAUAAACGUAUAUACUUUUCUCUUGAUGGAAAAAAUACUUUUACCCGUAAUAUGGGAAAUAUUAUUCGUGUUUAUAUAUCAAGAGAUGUCAUAUGUAGCAGUUAAAGCAACUUAAAAAAAAAAGUUUUCAAAGAUACGACUUUUUCACUUCUAUAAAAAGUAUGUUAAUCAUUAUAUAGUGCAGAAUUACUAUCAUUGAUACCUAAUUAAUUAUUUCUUAAUUAUAUGUUAUUAUUUUAUACCUAAUAAUAAUUAUUUUUUACUAUUACUAAUUUAAUUACCUACAUGAUUAAUUUAAAUUUUGAUUCGAAAAGAAUCAAGAAAGUAUUUUCGAUAAUAAAUUCCAUCAAGCAUUGUCUGCAGUAUUGAAUAAUGCUAAUAUAAUAAUAAAGAUUGGGAUGGGUACAGGGUAUCCAGGAUCAAAAACUACCAUCUAAUGAAGAUAAAUAAAAACAACUAUUUUUUUUUGCUGUGUAAAAUAUUUUGCCAAGCAAACAAAAAGAAAAAUUAAUUCAUAAUAUUUAAUAACAAUCAUUAUUAUUAUUAACUAUAACAUAAAAAUAAUUGAUAUUUAAAGUAAAAACAAAAAUAAAUAAUACAUUUGAAAAAUAAAUGGAAAUAAAUAUGUUUUUUUUUUCAAUCGCAUAAGUUUUAUUUCUGUUUAAGUGCACAAUAAAGUGUAUUGUUAUGUUAUGUUAAGUUAAAUAUAUAUAAUAUGUUAUUUUAAAUAUACAUAGUAUGUUAAGUAACAUAAUAUCAUUUCUUGUUUUUUUUUGACGUGACGUCUAAUAAAUCGAUUAACGCCGGCUUCGUUACGCUCAUAUGUAUGCUUGUGCCGCAUCUAUCUGAUCGGCCUAUGCAUCCGAGGAGAUGUUUUGUUAUGACGGUUGUCACGUUUAACUAUCGUCUGUAAACCAACUUUGCAGACAACCAAGUUUUUUAAUAAACAAUUUUGUCAAGACUGUACAUUCGUGUUUUAUUUAAAAGGACCGCACUUUUUUUUUUUUGAUAUCGCAGGGUAACCCAUUUACGGGUGAUAUCCAGGAUGCCAAGGUAGGCAUUCUUAGACCGUAUGUCGGCUUAGUACUUGGGGGUGCACUACCGACCAAAACCCCUGCGGGAGCCUUCAGCCGCUUUAAUUGGAGGGUCCCGGAUCUGCAGGCAACAGGAUCCCUCCAGCGACAGGCUGGCCUCGGCGAAAAGACCAGACUUCUCCAUGGGACUGUCCGGCUCACCUCUGAACAAUCCCGACGACGCCAUGUCUAGCAGGACCGGGUUCCCAUCCCGGCCCGACAUGGGUACAGGGGCGUUACUGGAAACGCAUUAAGUAGCGCCUCCUACGCACCCCCGUUCGUCGCCUGCGGACGGAGGCCUCGUCGGCGGCCCCCUCUCUCAUCCGCUCGUCGUUCUCCUUCUGGGACAUUACUGUCUCGCAGAAGGAGACCAUCGCCUUCCAGGACUCGUCGUCGCCGAGCAUCGCGGUAAAAGAACCGCAUUGGGCAUACUCGAUUUGGAUCAAGCAACCAAGGACCGGACCGUGCAUGCCUGAU